This 481-nucleotide ribosomal RNA is filed under the name uncultured bacterium. Its description in RNAcentral is "partial 16S ribosomal RNA". It matches the Rfam family "Bacterial small subunit ribosomal RNA", at positions 28 to 507 of the family's 1533-position model. The record is from RNAcentral.
GAUGAACGCUGGCGGCGUGCUUAACACAUGCAAGUCGAACGAAGCACUUUAUUUGAUUUCCUUCGGGACUGAUUAUUUUGUGACUGAGUGGCGGACGGGUGAGUAACGCGUGGGUAACCUGCCUUGUACAGGGGGAUAACAGUUGGAAACGGCUGCUAAUACCGCAUAAGCGCCCAGCAUCGCAUGAUGCAGUGUGAAAAACUCCGGUGGUAUAAGAUGGACCCGCGUUGGAUUAGCUAGUUGGUGAGGUAACGGCCCACCAAGGCGACGAUCCAUAGCCGAGCAGAGAGGGUGACCGGCCACAUUGGGACUGAGACACGGCCCAAACUCCUACGGGAGGCAGCAGUGGGGAAUAGUGCACAAUGGGCGAAAGCCUGAUGCAGCGACGCCGCGUGAGCGAAGAAGUAUUUCGGUAUGUAAAGCUCUAUCAGCAGGGAAGAUAAUGACGGUACCUGACUAAGAAGCACCGGCUAAAUACGUG